This 764-nucleotide long non-coding RNA is filed under the name Homo sapiens (human). RNAcentral's name for it is "testis associated oncogenic lncRNA". The record is from RNAcentral. Lineage: Eukaryota; Metazoa; Chordata; Mammalia; Primates; Hominidae.
CAGGGUAGGGCUGGAAAAGAAAGCCACGUCCUCCUUUACUGUAUCAGCAGUGAAUUUGCACCACCUUCUGGGAGCAUGCCUGGAUACACAGCUUAGGGACAAGAAACCUACGCUCACCAAGUGUCCACCAGCUCCUCGGCAAGGAGGGAGUAAAACGAAUUUUUUCUGCCACAACUUCUCUAGGCAUUUGUCUGGUCUUCUGCUGGAAAAUGUGGAUGUGGUUGUGAUCAUACUAGACCCUGGGAAUAAGGACAAACCUGAUGAAUGGUGAAGUGAGCAGAAAGAAAGUGGAUCCCAGAGGACUUUUCAGAGAGGAGCUUCCAGGCCAGCCCUAGGCUAUACAUCUGUGGACUUUGAAGCAAGAGAUAACUACUAUCUGUGUGGCUGGACUCAGACACAUCACGCUCCAGUUUGGGUUCCAAGGUGCUUCUCUCUGGAUUUUCACCUGCCUUGCCAAAAAUGAUUGAUUACGCUGGGCCAACUGGGUGUCCGGCAAUACCCAACAAAUGACUUUGGCCCCUAACAGCAGGUCUUGGCCAGACAGAAAUCAAUAUUUCACCAUUAAAAUCUAUCAAAGAAGAGUUAAGGCACCAUCUGUCCCUGCCGCCUCUCUAUGGUGUGUGAACAUUAAAUCCGACACUUGUACUACAUGGGUAAUCAAUAUAUAGUGGUUCACAGAUCAUUUGUGGUUCCCUUUUAGCAGUGAUGGAUGUCUGGAAUCGUUGUGAUUCAUUUUGUCAGACCAUUAAACAAGAUUCUGUCCA